RNAcentral lists this ribosomal RNA (798 nucleotides) under uncultured Glomeromycotina. Its description in RNAcentral is "SSU rRNA". It matches the Rfam family "Eukaryotic small subunit ribosomal RNA", at positions 314 to 1114 of the family's 1831-position model. The record is from RNAcentral. Lineage: Eukaryota; Fungi; Glomeromycota.
AUCAACUUUCGAUGGUAGGAUAGAGGCCUACCAUGGUGGUAACGGGUAACGGGGUGUUAGGGCACGACACCGGAGAGGGAGCCUGAGAAACGGCUACCACAUCCAAGGAUGGCAGCAGGCGCGCAAAUUACCCAAUCCCGACACGGGGAGGUAGUGACAAUAAAUAACAAUACGGGGUUCUUUCGGAUUUCGUAAUUGGAAUGAGUACAAUUUAAAUCUCUUAACGAGGAACAAUUGGAGGGCAAGUCUGGUGCCAGCAGCCGCGGUAAUUCCAGCUCCAAUAGCGUAUAUUAAAGUUGCUGCAGUUAAAAAGCUCGUAGUUGAAUUUCGGGACCAUCAUAUCGGUCGUGCCUAGGUACGUACUGGCAUCGUUGGUUUCUCCCUUCUGACGAACCACGAUGUCAUUUAUUUGGUGUUGUGGGGAAUCAGGACUGUUACUUUGAAAAAAUUAGAGUGUUUAAAGCAGGCUCACGCUUGAAUACAUUAGCAUGGAAUAAUGAAAUAGGACGUUUGAUUCUAUUUUGUUGGUUUCUAGGAUCGACGUAAUGAUUAAUAGGGAUAGUUGGGGGCAUUAGUAUUCAAUUGUCAGAGGUGAAAUUCUUGGAUUUAUUGAAGACUAACUACUGCGAAAGCAUUUGCCAAGGAUGUUUUCAUUAAUCAAGAACGAAAGUUAGGGGAUCGAAGACGAUCAGAUACCGUCGUAGUCUUAACCAUAAACUAUGCCGACUAGGGAUCGGAUGAUGUUAAUUUUUUAAUGACUCAUUCGGCGCCUUACGGGAAACCAAAGUGUUUGGGUUC